RNAcentral lists this non-coding RNA (25 nucleotides) under Mus musculus (house mouse). Lineage: Eukaryota; Metazoa; Chordata; Mammalia; Rodentia; Muridae. The record is from RNAcentral.
UAGUAAAACAGGAUGAUUUAGGUCA